CAGAAUAUCAAGGUGGCGCCACUAGUGAGUGCAGUAAUGGCGGGAUACCUUAACUUGAUUUGUGUUUCUUAAAAUAUCGAUUAGAGAAAUUCAACGAAACAAAAGAAACUUGAAGAAAUAUUUAAACUCGUCCAUUAAAUCGAUUUUACAACAACGAUAUAUUGUUUCUACCAGAAAAAUGUUGGAAAAUAUCGUGGAAUGUUAUUGUACGUUAUUUAUAAAAGUAUCCUCUGGAAUAAGAAGAGAAAUAAAAGCACACCAAAGUUUGGCCAAAAGAAGAGUUGUUGAGAAGAGAGAAGUGGGGGAUGGAAAGGAGGGCGCAGGCGCUAUGUACGAC
Molecule: long non-coding RNA, 337 nt
Organism: Polistes dominula (European paper wasp)
Lineage: Eukaryota; Metazoa; Arthropoda; Insecta; Hymenoptera; Vespidae
Source: RefSeq, a predicted model, not a curated record